This 563-nucleotide ribosomal RNA is filed under the name uncultured bacterium. RNAcentral's name for it is "bacterial SSU rRNA". It matches the Rfam family "Bacterial small subunit ribosomal RNA", at positions 338 to 916 of the family's 1533-position model. The record is from RNAcentral.
CCUACGGGAGGCAGCAGUCGGGAAUUUUGGGCAAUGGGCGAAAGCCUGACCCAGCAACGCCGCGUGAAGGAUGAAGUAUUUCGGUAUGUAAACUUCGAAAGAAUGGGAAGAAUAAAUGACGGUACCAUUUAUAAGGUCCGGCUAACUACGUGCCAGCAGCCGCGGUAAUACGUAGGGACCAAGCGUUGUUCGGAUUUACUGGGCGUAAAGGGCGCGUAGGCGGCGUGGUAAGUCACUUGUGAAAUCUCUGAGCUUAACCCAGAACGGCCAAGUGAUACUGCUGUGCUAGAGUGCAGAAGGGGCAAUCGGAAUUCUUGGUGUAGCGGUGAAAUGCGUAGAUAUCAAGAGGAACACCUGAGGUGAAGACGGGUUGCUGGGCUGACACUGACGCUGAGGCGCGAAAGCCAGGGGAGCAAACGGGAUUAGAUACCCCGGUAGUCCUGGCCCUAAACGAUGAAUACUUGGUGUCUGGAGUUAUUAGUGCUCCGGGUGCCGUCGCUAACGUUUUUAGUAUUCCGCCUGGGGAGUACGCUCGCAAGAGUGAAACUCAAAGGAAUUGACGG